CAGAUAUUGAAUCCCAAUCAGUAUACUUUGGAGAUGCCUCAAAAUCAGAGGUUCAAGCAGGAUGAAGUUUGGAACUUCCCAGGGAGCCAGCUGGAAGUGCAGAAGUGAAGGAAAGCUUUUGCAGAACGGGCAGGAGCUGGGAGCAGGAGGGGCGGAAGCGGGCAUGGGGAAGUGCCGGAAGAUGAGGUCGCUGCAAUGUCACCUGAAUCGGGAGAUGAGGACGCUACAAUGUCACCUGGAUCGGGAGAUGAGGUCGCUGCAAUGUCACCUGAAUCGGGAGGUGAGGCCGCUGCAAUGCCGGCUGAAUCGGGAGAUGAGGCCGCCGCAAUGUCACCUGAAUCGGGAGAUGAGGCCGCUGCAAUGUCACCUGAAUCGGGAGAUGAGGACGCUACAAUGUCACCUGAAUCGGGAGAUGAGGCCGCUGCAAUGCCGGCUGAAUCGGGAGUGAGAAGAACACGAACUCACAGCCACCGAGGCCUGAUGGGUUCCUGCAGUGAGAGCUCAGCACACAUCCACAGAGAGAGAGGGGAGACGUGGGAAUUGGAAAACCAGAAACUUCCAGAGACACCCAAAGAUUUGAUCUGCAGCCUGGGAAGAAGCUUGGAUUGAUGUAAAAAUACAAUACACAGGCAUGAACAGAAAAAUAAUACAUAAAAUAAUGAUGUUUCUAUGGCUGUAAGUAGGGGUUAGAAAGUUAUACAUUGCCUCCUGAGAAGCUGAGAGGCCUCAAACAAAAUGUGAACAAUGGUUAUCUGCUGCUGUGGAAUGCAACAGGUGCAUCUGGGAUUGGUCUUAUAGAGUUAUUUCUAAUUAAUGGCCAAUCACAGUCAGCUGGCUUGGACUCUCUGUCUGAGCCACAAGCCUUUGUUAUCAUUCUUUCUCUUUCUAUUCUUAGCCAGCCUUCUGAUGAAAUCCUUUCCUUCUAUUCUUUUAGUGUAGUUUUAAUGUAAUAUCGAUAAUA
Molecule: long non-coding RNA, 961 nt
Organism: Zonotrichia leucophrys gambelii
Lineage: Eukaryota; Metazoa; Chordata; Aves; Passeriformes; Passerellidae
Exons: 4
Source: RefSeq, a predicted model, not a curated record